This 293-nucleotide signal recognition particle RNA is filed under the name Saimiri boliviensis boliviensis (Bolivian squirrel monkey). RNAcentral describes it as "Metazoan signal recognition particle RNA (ENSSBOG00000003463.1)". It matches the Rfam family "Metazoan signal recognition particle RNA". From Rfam's summary of the family: The signal recognition particle (SRP) is a universally conserved ribonucleoprotein. It is involved in the co-translational targeting of proteins to membranes. The eukaryotic SRP consists of a 300-nucleotide 7S RNA and six proteins: SRPs 72, 68, 54, 19, 14, and 9. The record is from RNAcentral. Lineage: Eukaryota; Metazoa; Chordata; Mammalia; Primates; Cebidae.
GCCAGGUGCAGUGACACAUGUCUGCAAUCUCAGCUACUUUGGAGGCCAAGGGGGGAGGAUUGUUUGAGUCCAAGAGUUCUGGGCUGUAGUGUGUUAUGCCAAUUGGGUGUCCGCAGUAAGUUCAGCAUCAAUAUGGUGACCUCCCAGGAGUGGGGACCACCAGGUUGCCUAUGGAGAGGUGAACCAGCCCAGGUCAGAAAUGGAGCAGGUCAAAACUCCGGUGCUGAUCAGUAGUGGGAUCAAGUCUGUGAAUAGCCACUGCACUCCAGCACUCUAAAAAACAAACAACAUCA